Molecule: ribosomal RNA, 1061 nt
Filed under: uncultured Bacteroidales bacterium
Lineage: Bacteria; Pseudomonadati; Bacteroidota; Bacteroidia; Bacteroidales
Description: bacterial SSU rRNA
Rfam family: Bacterial small subunit ribosomal RNA
Source: RNAcentral
AACGCUAGCUACAGGCUUAACACAUGCAAGUCGAGGGGCAGCACGGAGAUAGCUUGCUAUCUUGGGUGGCGACCGGCGCACGGGUGAGUAACGCGUAUCCAACCUGCCCAUUACUCAGGGAUAGCCUUGCGAAAGUAAGAUUAAUACCUGAUGUUGUUAAAAACCCGCAUGAGUUUUUAACCAAAGAUUUAUUGGUAAUGGAUGGGGAUGCGUGACAUUAGGUAGAUGGCGGGGUAACGGCCCACCAUGCCUACGAUGUCUAGGGGUUCUGAGAGGAAGGUCCCCCACACUGGAACUGAGACACGGUCCAGACUCCUACGGGAGGCAGCAGUGAGGAAUAUUGGUCAAUGGCCGGAAGGCUGAACCAGCCAAGUAGCGUGAAGGAUGAAGGUUCUAUGGAUUGUAAACUUCUUUUAUACGGGAAUAAAACCUCCCACGUGUGGGAGCUUGUAUGUACCGUAUGAAUAAGCAUCGGCUAACUCCGUGCCAGCAGCCGCGGUAAUACGGAGGAUGCGAGCGUUAUCCGGAUUUAUUGGGUUUAAAGGGAGCGUAGGCGGGCUGUUAAGUCAGCGGUAAAAUGUCAAGGCCCAACCUUGUCCUGCCGUUGAAACUGGCGGUCUUGAAUGCACACAAGGGAGAUGGAAUUCGUCGUGUAGCGGUGAAAUGCUUAGAUAUGACGAAGAACUCCGAUUGCGAAGGCAGUCUCCUGGGGUGUUAUUGACGCUGAGGCUCGAAAGUGCGGGUAUCAAACAGGAUUAGAUACCCUGGUAGUCCGCACAGUAAACGAUGAAUGCUGGUUCUUGGCGAUAUACAGUCAGUGGCCAAGUGAAAACGUUAAGUAUCCCACCUGGGGAGUACGCCGGCAACGGUGAAACUCAAAGGAAUUGACGGGGGCCCGCACAAGCGGAGGAACAUGUGGUUUAAUUCGAUGAUACGCGAGGAACCUUACCCGGGCUUGAAUUGCUGAGGAAAGAUCCAGAGAUGGUGAUGCCCUUCGGGGCCUCAGUGAAGGUGCUGCAUGGUUGUCGUCAGCUCGUGCCGUAAGGUGUCGGCUUAAGUGC